ACGAACGCUGGCGGCGUGCUUAACACAUGCAAGUCGAACGAUGAAGCUGGAGCUUGCUCCGGUGGAUUAGUGGCGAACGGGUGAGUAACACGUGAGAAAUCUGCCCCUGACUCUGGGAUAACUGCGGGAAACUGUAGCUAAUACCGGAUACUUUCCCUGGUGGGCAUCCACUGGGGAAGAAAGAAUUUCGGUCAGGGAGGAUCUCGCGGCCUAUCAGCUAGUUGGUGAGGUAACGGCUCACCAAGGCGACGACGGGUAACCGGCCUGAGAGGGUGACCGGUCACACUGGGACUGAGACACGGCCCAGACUCCUACGGGAGGCAGCAGUGGGGAAUAUUGCACAAUGGGCGCAAGCCUGAUGCAGCAACGCCGCGUGAGGGAUGAAGGCCUUCGGGUUGUAAACCUCUUUUAGCAGGGAAGAAGCGAAAGUGACGGUACCUGCAGAAAAAGCACCGGCUAACUACGU
This 466-nucleotide ribosomal RNA is filed under the name uncultured bacterium. RNAcentral describes it as "bacterial SSU rRNA". It matches the Rfam family "Bacterial small subunit ribosomal RNA", at positions 29 to 506 of the family's 1533-position model. The record is from RNAcentral.